GAUGAACGCUGGCGGCGUGCCUAAUACAUGCAAGUCGAGCGAACGGACGAGAAGCUUGCUUCUCUGAUGUUAGCGGCGGACGGGUGAGUAACACGUGGAUAACCUACCUAUAAGACUGGGAUAACUUCGGGAAACCGUAGCUAAUACCGGAUAAUAUUUUGAACCGCAUGGUUCAAAAGUGAAAGACGGUCUUGCUGUCACUUAUAGAUGGAUCCGCGCUGCAUUAGCUAGUUGGUAAGGUAACGGCUUACCAAGGCAACGAUGCAUAGCCGACCUGAGAGGGUGAUCGGCCACACUGGAACUGAGACACGGUCCAGGCUCCUACGGGAGGCAGCAGUAGGGAAUCUUCCGCAAUGGGCGAAAGCCUGACGGAGCAACGCCGCGUGAGUGAUGAAGGUCUUCGGAUCGUAAAACUCUGUUAUUAGGGAAGAACAUAUGUGUAAGUAACUGUGCACAUCUUGACGGUACCUAACCAGAAAGCCACGGCUAACUACGUG
RNAcentral lists this ribosomal RNA (497 nucleotides) under uncultured bacterium. RNAcentral's name for it is "partial 16S ribosomal RNA". It matches the Rfam family "Bacterial small subunit ribosomal RNA", at positions 28 to 507 of the family's 1533-position model. The record is from RNAcentral.